AUUCAGGACACAGGUGGGCAAGGACUUCAUGACUAAAACACCAAAUGCAAUGGCAACAAAGCCAAAACAUACAAGUGGAAUCUAGUUAAACUUAAGAGCCCUGCACAGCCAAAGAAACUAUUGACAGAGUGAACCGGCAACCAAGAGAAUGGGAAAAAAAUUUUUGCAAUCUAUCCAUCUGACUA
Sapajus apella (tufted capuchin) is the source of this 185-nucleotide long non-coding RNA. RefSeq lists it as uncharacterized. The transcript is spliced from 3 exons. NCBI's taxonomy places the organism in Eukaryota, Metazoa, Chordata, Mammalia, Primates, Cebidae. The record is from RefSeq and is a predicted model, not a curated record.